UUAUUUAAGGGCAAAUUUGUAAUAAGAACGCAAAAGCUGUUUUUUCUUGGUAGUUAUAUAUUAUCCCGUGCUUUCUAGAAGCCAUUCUACGCUUCCACAGAGCUCUUUUUAUAGUUUGUGCAUUCCAGAUAUUUUUCAGUUUUGGCUCGAGUAUUCUCCUUUCAUGUGCAGAGUAUUUUGUCAUGAUGAAAAAGACAAGUAGCACAUAAUGAGAGGAAACAUAAAACUGGAUAAAAAGAAUAUGACUUCUGAUUAGGCUAAGGUCAUUCUUUGCAACUGUCUUUUUGCGUUGACAAAGAAGAAAGAAAGAACUAUGAAGUUCUACAGGUUCGAUUUAGAAAGACAAAGGCUCAAAAAUCUAAAUGGGGGUUACAUACUCCCGUCACAUUGGAGGUGGGAAAAACAAAAUAUGAUAUUUCGACGUGGUACAACUUCGAUGCUCAGGAAAAACUUCAUUUAGAUACAAAUAUCAUGGACAUUUAAGUCACAAUUUCUUAGUUGACAUAAGUCAAAUGGAGAUUGAAGAGCUGUAACUAUGCAUAGAUCUUCCCCAAAAAUGUACAGAUAACCUCAAAAAGACUUAUCUUGACGUUGGAGAUAGGAGUAAUACAAAAAGGGAAUUCGUGGAGAGCCAGUUGGCCAAGGCCAUUUAUGAAAAACAGGUUCUCGAGGAGUAUAACAAGUCCUUACAAAAGGCAUACAGAUCUGGUAUAGAUGAAGUACUUGCAAGUGGCUUAGGCGUUUGAUCGUCCCAAUUUAUUCUCUUCUGCAAUUAUGCUUUGGCUUUGUGGUAUGGUGGAAAGAUGAUCUUGGAGAAAGAUUACACAGGAGGUUCAGUCUUGACCAUACUCUAGCCGUGUUAACUGCUUCAAUGUCAAUAGGUGAUGCAUCUCUUUGCUUUGCUGCAUUUGCAGCAGGGAAAGCUGGUGCUGGUGCUUUCAAGAUGCUUGAGACUAUAAACAGAAAUUUAGAGAUUGAUGUGUACAACAGUGGAAUAAUUUUUGAUGACAUAUGUGGAGAUAUAGAGAUAAAAACAUGUAUGUUUUAACUAUCCAAGCAGAUCAACAGUGAGAAUACUCAACGAGUUCUCAUUGUUAAUCCCAAACGGAAAAUUUACUGUUUUAGUUGGUGGAAGCGGAAGUGGCAAGUCCACAAUUAUUAGUUUAAUUGAGAGAUUCUAUGAUCCACAAUCAGGGAAAUUUUUAAUAGACGGACGUAAUUUCAAAAACUUUCAAAUCUGAACUUAAAACAUUUAUUUGUAUAGACAAAUGUGUAUGAAUUAGUAUAUUUGUCCGAUCAACAAUGAAGUUGAUCAGGUAUAAGUGAAAAAAAAUAUAGUAGCAUAGGAAUCUGCAAAAUCAAUUGAUGUAAAUGUUUUUGUGCGACUCAAAUCGGUAAAGGUGCAGGAU
Solanum stenotomum is the source of this 1409-nucleotide long non-coding RNA. RefSeq lists it as uncharacterized. Lineage: Eukaryota; Viridiplantae; Streptophyta; Magnoliopsida; Solanales; Solanaceae. The transcript has 5 exons. The record is from RefSeq and is a predicted model, not a curated record.